GAUGAACGCUGGCGGCGUGCCUAAUACAUGCAAGUCGAGCGAACAGACGAGGAGCUUGCUCCUCUGACGUUAGCGGCGGACGGGUGAGUCACACGUGGAUAACCUACCUAUAAGACUGGGAUCACUUCGGGAAACCGGCGCUAAUACCGGAUAAUAUCUUGAACCGCGUGGUUCGAUAGUGAGAGACGGUUUUUGUGUCACUUAUCGCUGGAUCCGCGCGGCAUGAGCUAGUUGGUAAGGUCAAGGCUUACCAAGGCAACGAUGCGUAGACGAACUGAGAGGGGGAUCGGCCACACUGGAACUGAGACAGGGACCAGACUCCUACGAGAGGCAGCAGAAGGGAACGUUCCGCAAUGGGCGGAAGCCUGACGGAGCAACGCCGCGUGAGUGAUGAAGGUCUUCGGAUCGUAAAACUGUGUUAUUAGGGAAGAACAAAUGUGUAAGUAACUAUGCACGUCUUGACGGUACCUAAUCAGAAAGCCACGGCUAACUACGUG
This 497-nucleotide ribosomal RNA is filed under the name uncultured bacterium. RNAcentral describes it as "partial 16S ribosomal RNA". It matches the Rfam family "Bacterial small subunit ribosomal RNA", at positions 28 to 507 of the family's 1533-position model. The record is from RNAcentral.